RNAcentral lists this long non-coding RNA (204 nucleotides) under Homo sapiens (human). RNAcentral's name for it is "non-protein coding lnc-RPL37-1:3". Lineage: Eukaryota; Metazoa; Chordata; Mammalia; Primates; Hominidae. The record is from RNAcentral.
UUUAAUGUGCAGACGAAGGGAACGUCAUCGUUUGGAAAGCGUCGCAAUAAGACGCACACGUUGUGCCGCCGCUGUGGCUCUAAGGCCUACCACCUUCAGAAGUCGACCUGUGGCAAAUGUGGCUACCCUGCCAAGCGCAAGAGAAAGAUAACUGGAGUGCCAAGGCUAAAAGACGAAAUACCACCGGAACUGGUCGAAUGAGGC